RNAcentral lists this long non-coding RNA (4050 nucleotides) under Papio anubis (olive baboon). RNAcentral's name for it is "lncRNA (ENSPANG00000039094.1)". The record is from RNAcentral. Lineage: Eukaryota; Metazoa; Chordata; Mammalia; Primates; Cercopithecidae.
AGUAGUGGUCAGUGGGCAUCUAGGGACCACUGGGACCCCAAGACACAGCUUCUGGGAAAUGGAGGAGGGAGAAGACAGGCUUCUGAGGGGAGGAGUCCUGGGAAAAGAGGGAUAGGAGGAGGAGGUGGUGGCAAUGUCCUGACCAAGUGGGAGAGUCCCUGGCAAGAGACACUUCUCCCUUCCUUUCACCCUUGCCACCCCAGAAAUCCCCUGCUGAGGGGUCCUCAGAGGGUAGUCCCAGGCACCCAGCUCAGGGCAUCUCUGCUGGAAUGGAGCAAUGAAGGCCCAAGAUCCAGGCCGGGGGCCCUUGGGGCCUCAGUUUCCUCUGCUGUCCAGUGGGGCAGAUCACUUCCUCACUUGCUCCUGCCUCCCCUCCGGGCCAGCAUGAGGGCAGAGGGAAAAGCCAAGAGGAACACAUUUUGGCAGGUUUGUAUCCUGCCCUUCCUGCAGAUCAGUGUCCUGCUAGUCACCUGGGAGUCAGGGGAUGGAGUGAAGGACAAGACCUCCUUCUAUCGCAGUGAAACCACUUGGAGAAAUGUGUGGAAAACAACAAGACCCAGUGACGGUUUCCUCACCUUCUUUCCAAUUUCAGGAGGGAUUUUGUCCCUUCAUCCACCAGCUUCUAGAUUAACCACCCACACCCACACAGACGAGAGUUUCCCUGAAUAUUGGAGUUGACAGGACAUCAGGACAAAGUACAACUAUUGUGCCUUGGCCCAAUCACUACUUUCUUUGUCUGGGGCCACCGCUGGCUCCUGGCUGCCUUUCAUGCUCUUCUCCACCCCCACCCCUUUCUCCCCUUCCCCCUCACCUGGAACACCUUCCCCUUCCUCCUUGGCUCCUUCUGAACUGCCUUCAGAGCCACAGGCUGUGGGGAGUGGCCACUGGGCUCCCAAGGUGAGGCCCUCCAAGUGGGCCCCUCAACUGGGAGCCAGCAUGACCUCCGUGUGGGUCGCUCUCUGCUUCACUGUCCCUUCCCCCAAUCUGCUAGGUGACCCUGGGCCCCUUUGUGCCCUCUCUGGGCCUUUGGAGGAUUCUUUGGGGAGACAGUCUGCUCUGACACCCCCUCCCCUGCAGCAGCCUGGGGAGGGAGGGGAGGAUAAGUGAAAUCAAGUUUGUUCAAGGGGCUAAGCUCAUGGGAGGGAAGGUGCCACAGAGAUACCUGUUGUCUUGUGAUUGUUGUUUUGUGCUUUUUCCCCUUUUUUGAAGGCUCAGAUGACUAGGUGACUUGAGCUUUUAAUUUGGUGACAAUGUGGGCAUUGGCUGAGUCCAUAAGAGUGCAUUGUUGUAAAGGCCGGUGACAACACAUUGGGGCAUGGGAUCCAGAGUUAACCCCUCCAGGUCACAGCCAGGUUACAUCUCCAAAAUGAAAGGGGGAGGUGGGCCAUACUUUCUCACCCUAAAGAAGGUAGCUCAAAAACCCCUAGGCCAGGUUGUAAUCCUAGCUUUAUAUAAAAGGAAUUCUGUGCCCUCACUCCCCUGGAUCCCUGGGCAAAGCCCACAGGGAAAUACAAACAGAUAGUUGUAACACACCUUGCUGGGUACCACCAUGGAGGACAGUUGGCUUAUGGGGUGGGGGUGCCUGGGGUCAUGGAGUGACAGGUGAUGGUUAUCCCUCCUUGGAACCCCUCCAGCCACCUCUUAACUUCAGAUUUGUUUGUUUUUUACUAAGACCUGCUCUUUCAGGUCUGUUGGCUCUUUUAGGGGCUGAAGAAGGCUGAGUUGAGAAAGGAUGCAAGGGACGGGGCCAGAAUGAGCUUUUAGGGUUCAGAACCUCCAUCCUGCCCCCAGGUAGGGAUGAGGGAGGGGUCCCUGCCAAGAUGCCUACAGCUUGUGCUCCUGGGGUGCUAGAGGCACACAAGGAGGAAAGUUAGUGGCUUCCUUUCCAUAUCCCAUUCAUCAGCCUAGAGCAUGGAGCCCAGGUGAGGAGGCCUGCCUGGGAGGGGGCCCUUAGCCAGGAAAUAAACAUUUACUAACUGUACGAAGACCUUGUCCUUGCUGCUGGGGAGCCUGCCAAGUGGUGGAGACAGGACUAGUGCAUGCAUGAUGGAAAGGGAGGGUUGGGGUGGGUGGGAGCCAGCCCUUCUCCUCAUAAGGGCCUUAGGACACCACACUGAUGGAACUGGGGGUACCGGGGAGGUAACCUAGCACCUCCACCAAACCACAGCACCAUGUGCUGAGGAUGUGGCUGACUGGGUAAGCUCCUUGGAGCGUUUUGGUCAAAUUGAGGGAAUUGCUGCAUUCCCAUUCUCAGUCCAUGCCUCCACAGAGGCUAUGCCAGCUGCAGACCAGACCCUGGCAAGAUCCAGGUGGACAAUCAGACUGACUGGUCCCACUCUUCCCACAGGCAUCAGAACCCCAACUUUGUUCCCUGGAGCAGCCUGGAAAUAGCCGGGUCAGAACCCAGUCAGGAAUUUUUCCAAGCUGGUUCCUAUAGGCAAGAAUGGGAUAGGGGCCUUCGGGAGCACUUAGGGAAGAUGUGGAGAGUUGGAGGAAAAGGCCGCUUGGAGGUAAGGGAGGGGACUGGGGAAAGGAGAGGGGAGAAGCUAUAAGCCUGGAGAAGUAGCCAAGGGAUCCUGAGGGAAUGGGGGAGCUGAGAAGAAACCCCCAUUUCUGUUCAGAAGAUGAGCUAUGAGUCUGGGCUUGGGCUGAUAGAAGCCUUGGCCCUUGGCCUGGUGGGAGCUCUGGGCAGCUGGCCUACAGACGUUCCUUAGUGCUGGCGGGUAGGUUUGAAUCAUCACGCAGGCCCUGGCCUCCAUCCGCCCCCACCAGCCCCCUGGCCUCAGUUCCCUGGCAACAUCUGGGGUUGGGGGGGCAGCAGGAACAAGGGCCUCUGUCUGCCCAGUUGCCUCCCCCUUUGGGUUUUGCCAGACUCCACAGUGCAUACGUGGGCUCCAACAGGUCCUCUUCCCUCCCAGUCACUGACUAACCCCGGAACCACACAGCUUCCCGUUCUCAGCUCCACAAACUUGGUGCCAAAUUCUUCCCCGCAGGGAAGCAUCCCUGGACACUUCCCAAAGGACCCCAGUCACUCCAGCCUGUUGGCUGCCGCUCACUUUGAUGUCUGCGGGCCAGAUGAGGGCUCCAGAUGGCACAUUGUCAGAGGGACACACUGUGCCCCCUGUGCCUAGCCCUGGGCUCUCUGUACAUGAAGCAACUCCAGUCCCAAAUAUGUAGCUGUUUGGGAGGUCAGAAAUAGGGGGUUCAGGAGCAAACUCCCCCCACCCCCUCUCCAGAGCCCAUUCCCUCUUUAGCCAGAGCCGGGGUGUGCAGACGGCAGUCACUAGGGGGCGCUCGGCCACCACAGGGAAGCUGGGUGAAUGGAGCGAGCAGCGUCUUCGAGAGUGAGGACGUAUGUCUGUGUGGGUGAGUGUGUGCGUGUGCGUGUAGGGGUUGAGGGCGUUGGAGCAGGGAGAAGGCCAGGGGUCACUCCAGGAUUCCAAUAGAUCUGUGUGUCCCUCUCCCCACCCGUCCCUGUCGGGCUGUCCGCCUUCCCCUGCCCCCUUCAAUAUUCCCAGCAGAGAGGGAAUGGCUCUCAGGCCCUGUCCGCACGUAACCUCACUUUCCUGCUCCCUCCUCGCCAAUGCCCCGCGGGCGCGUGUCUCUGGACAGAGUUUCCGGGGGCGGAUGGGUAAUUUUCAGGCUGUGAACCUUGGUGGGGGUCGAGCUUCCCCUUCAUUGCGGCGGGCUGCGGGCCAGGCUUCGCUGGGCGCCCGCAGAGCCCGGGCCCGAGCCGCGUGUGGAGGGGCUGAGGCUCGCCUGUCCCCGCCCCCCGGGGCGGGCCGGGGGCGGGGUCCCGGCGGGGCGGAGCCAGGCACCCUCUUUUUUUAAAGUCGGCUGGUAGCGGGGAGGAUCGCGGAGGCUUGGGGCAGCCGGGUAGCUCGGAGGUCGUGGCGCUGGGGGCUAGCACCAGCGCUCUGUCGGGAGGCGCAGCGGCUAGGUGGACCGGUCAGCGGACUCACCCGCCAGGGCGCUCCGUGCUGGAAUUUGAUAUUCAUUGAUCCGGGGUUUAUCCCUCUUCUUUUUUCUUAAACAUUUUUUUUUUAAAAC